CUAUGAUUGAUUACUGUUAGUGGCUAUGGAUUGAGAGAUUAAAUGUGAUUGAUUGCGGUAACAAUUUAUUUGAUUUGAAUGAAUCAUCUGUUUUCAGUUGUAGCUGAUUAGGUAUUGGUAAAAUAGUGUUUUAUAGCCGAUGAUAGUGUCAAAAGAUGUUAGCUUUAUCAUUGUUCUUAUCGUAGUUGUUGUUAUAAAUGAAGCAUGAACUGGACAUGACACACACUGACACAUAGAAAGGAGUUUCAGAAAAUAAUCAUAGAGAUAGUUAUGUAUAUCGAUGCUUAACAUCAGACAGACUACCUGAAGAUUACUAUUUUGGCGGCAUUCCUCAUAGAUUUAUAUCUUCGGCUAACAACAUAACUAACUUUAGAGCAAAAGCUUAACUCGGUUCUUUCUGGGAGCUAGUUUCACAGUUUCAACUAGGAAGAAUUGCAUAUAAACUGGACAAAAUAUAAAUAUUGCUAUUGAAACCUGAAACAAGUAAGCUAUAAUUAAGAUUCAUAACCUAAUAAGAGGGUGAGUAAAGUAUUGGUAAUUCACCAGCUCCUCAACAUAAAGAGAAGAAUAUGCAGACUAUGAAAAAGAGGGUGAAUAGAGUCAUUGGUGAAAGGAUACCGAUUGAAUUCGAUGUAUGAACCAAAACGCCUUUAGGGGAAUACAGAAGAAAAAUUCAAAAGUCAUGUGGGUUCCAUUGCUAGAAGCAAAGUUAGUAUUUUGGUGAAUCAUUGGGAUCUUAUAAGCGGACUAUUAAAGACCAGAUUUGAGAAGAUAUCAUGGUAUUACUAUUUACGAUUGUCAGUUGUAACACUUAAUUAUAUUAUUUCCGUACACUAACUCUUUUAUCUGCUAUAUAACACAGGAACAAUGGGAUAUUCCAAAUAAUACUCAUGAUAUUUAUAAAUUGAAAGACAAAUGGCUAUCCUAUGCGUGUGAACGCAGGAGGAUCCUUCCAUUCUACUUUGUUGGACUUUAAGAAUAAUUAGUUUAUCAAUUAAAUUUAUUUAUAGUAUUUCUGUUAAUUAUUGUGUGUUAUUUAUAACAGGAGAAAAGAAAUAGGGGGAAAUUGAUUCAGGCUCAUAAUAGAUGCCCCCACAGCUUGUCUCGUGGAGGAUAUGAGUUGCUUGAAGAAAAGAUGAUGCAGGAGAAAAUAAAACAAAGACAAGAAUCAAUUGAAGACUCAUAGCUGCACCUCCAUCCCCACCAACACGCCAUGAGAAGUGGAUAAGGGCACGACAAAAGUCAUCAGGAGAGUACAUGUCAGAAGAAACACGUUGUAUCGCCGAUAAAAUCGUAAGUAAAAUGCAACUCUUUAGAUAAAUGCUAAGAUGUAUAACUGUUAAAGUUAUUGGUAUUAUGUUUUUCCCCAGUUUUGUUAAGGUGCAUGUGUUUGUUACGGUGCAUUCUGCUUCAUCAAUCCCUAUAUGAUCUGAUGAUCAUGAAAUUACAUAGGUAGUUAGGUACAUACAUCAGUUUGGAAUUUAGCAUGAAAUUAUGAGUGUGGCUACUUUAUAAUGAUACAUAUGUUGAACAUUGUACAGCUGGUAUUGUAGACUUAUGGGAUAUGGUGUGUAAUUAAAUAUUACAAUAAUGUGUUUCUUAUGUUUUUUUAAAGUUAAUUUGAUAUUAUAAUAUGUUAUCAUUUUUUUUUUCCAGAUUUUUGGAGACAAAGAUCUGUUUACUGAUGAUGAAAUGAAAAAUGUUCAAGAACGCUGUGCAAG
RNAcentral lists this long non-coding RNA (1721 nucleotides) under Medicago truncatula (barrel medic). RNAcentral's name for it is "lncRNA gene36460". Lineage: Eukaryota; Viridiplantae; Streptophyta; Magnoliopsida; Fabales; Fabaceae. The record is from RNAcentral.